This 241-nucleotide unclassified non-coding RNA is filed under the name uncultured fungus. RNAcentral's name for it is "sequence contains ITS2". Lineage: Eukaryota; Fungi. The record is from RNAcentral.
AACGCACAUUGCGCCCCUGGGUAUUCCUGGGGGCAUGCCUGUUCGAGCGUCAUUUCAACCCUCAAGCUCAGCUUGGUCUUGGGCCAUGCCGGAAACGGCCGGCCUUAAAACUAGUGGCGGUGCCGCCGGGCUCUACGCGUAGUAACUACAUCUCGCGUCUGGGUCCCGGUCGACGCUGGCCAGCAACCCUCAAUUUUUUCUGGUUGACCUCGGAUCAGGUAGGGAUACCCGCUGAACUUAA